This 68-nucleotide transfer RNA is filed under the name Xenopus tropicalis (tropical clawed frog). RNAcentral's name for it is "tRNA-Cys". The record is from RNAcentral. Lineage: Eukaryota; Metazoa; Chordata; Amphibia; Anura; Pipidae.
AAGUCCUGCGGUGUCAGACACGCCGAAUUGCAAAUCCGGAGAAGCAAAUGAGAGUUUGCCGGGGCUUC